UCAUGGUGUUCAGCUGUAAGAUUGGCCCAUUCAUCCUCAACAGCAACCUGGCCAAUUUAGGUACCAAGUAACUCCAGAAGCUGGAGCUGAUUAUUUGCAGCUGGAUGAAACGUAUAGGUAUUUUGUUCCGAACAUCACCUUUGCUCAUUCUGUGGUAGAAAGUCCCCAAAAGAAGCUAGGCCAGAGUCCUGUCUUUGACAUGCACUGGAUGAUGUCCAGGCCAGAAGAGUGGCUGAAGCCAAUGGCUGUGGCAACAGCCAAUCAGCCA
This 268-nucleotide long non-coding RNA is filed under the name Homo sapiens (human). RNAcentral's name for it is "non-protein coding lnc-DPP4-3:1". The record is from RNAcentral. Lineage: Eukaryota; Metazoa; Chordata; Mammalia; Primates; Hominidae.